GAUGAACGCUGGCGGCGUGCCUAAUACAUGCAAGUCGAGCGAACAGACGAGGAGCUUGCUCCUCUGACGUUAGCGGCGGACGGGUGAGUAACACGUGGAUAACCUACCUAUAAGACUGGGAUAACUUCGGGAAACCGGAGCUAAUACUGGAUAAUAUAUUGAACCGCAUGGUUCAAUAGUGAAAGACGGUUUUGCUGUCACUUAUAGAUGGAUCCGCGCCGCAUUAGCUAGUUGGUAAGGUAACGGCUUACCAAGGCAACGAUGCGUAGCCGACCUGAGAGGGUGAUCGGCCACACUGGAACUGAGACACGGUCCAGACUCCUACGGGAGGCAGCAGUAGGGAAUUUUCCGCAAUGGGCGAAAGCCUGACGGAGCAACGCCGCGUGAGUGAUGAAGGUCUUCGGAUCGUAAAACUCUGUUAUUAGGGAAGAACAAAUGUGUAAGUAACUAUGCACGUCUUGACGGUACCUAAUCAGAAAGCCACGGCUAACUACGUG
This 497-nucleotide ribosomal RNA is filed under the name uncultured bacterium. Its description in RNAcentral is "partial 16S ribosomal RNA". It matches the Rfam family "Bacterial small subunit ribosomal RNA", at positions 28 to 507 of the family's 1533-position model. The record is from RNAcentral.